AUUCGUAAAAUUGUUCGUACAAGAAAUCAUAACGCCAAAGGAAUAUGAAAUGGUUACUUAAAACUUUACUCUUUAACAAUUGGGACUAAUUAUAAUAUCAACAAGAAAAGUACUACUUCACACAUAAAAGAUAUACAAAGUAUUUAUUUAUACAUGUGAAACAAUAGAGUACAAUUUUGCUUGCUUACCUACGAGUACGUCAUACUAUAUUCUGCCGCCAAGAUACAUUAAGGGUUAUUGAUUGAUUGGGUUAGUAUUGCUAGCCACUCACCAUCCAAUAAGUCCACGUGCCUGCAGCGCUAAAGGCAGGACAUCCGAUGAAACUGAUCGUGUGUUGGUCGGGAUGUGCAUAAAAUUCGUGCAGAUUUAAGAUGGCGAGUGAUUAGCAUAAGGUUACAUGCAGUGCAUUGUAAUUUGUAGCAUAUUAAGAGUAUGUUCUUAGCGAAAUCUGUGAUUAUUGGUUUGUAAAUACAAUUCAAUGUGAUUUUAUUUGGUUCAUAACCAAUUUUUAUUAGUAUUUAGUUAAGUAAUAUGUACCAAAGAUUAAUUAUAGAAAGGGAAAUAAAUAUAAUAUAAAUAGAGGUCUUUUGCCCAUAAAUAUUUUAAAAAUGAAUUUUAUUGAAUAUAAUCAAUGCCAGUAAUGACAGAGAUUAGUCAACAAUAAUAAAUGUAUUAAAAAUCCAGUUCUUGUAAAUUAUUAAAAGAAAAUUAAUGUAAAAACAAAAUUUUAAACAAUUAAAACAAAAAGAUAGUUUUUUUUUAUUUUUAUACAUUUUACUAUUGUUAAGAGUUUCGAGCAGUGAUAGCCCAGUGGAUAUGACCUCUGCCUCCGAUUCCGGAGGGUGUGGGUUCGAAUCCUGUCCGGGGCAUGCACCUCCAACUUUUCAGUUGUGUGCUUUUAAGAAAUUAAAUAUCACGUGUCUCAAUUGGUGAAGGAAAACAUCGUGAGGAAACCUGCAUACCAAAGAAUUAUCUUCAUUCUCUGCGUGUGUGAAGUCUGCCAAUCCGCAUUGGGCCAGCGUGGUGGACUAUUGGCCUAACCCCUCUCAUUCUGAGAGGAGACUCGAGCUCAGCAGUGAGCCGAAUAUGGGUUGAUGACGACGAAGAGUUUCACUAUUUUCUUUCAUAGAUUAAUACAAUAGAUCCUUAUUAUUUUAUUGAAAAUCAAGUUCACGGUUAAAUAAUAUGAAAUUGAGUAAGAAUUAAACUUGAACUUGACUUUUUCCUAACGUUGGCAUACAUUUAUCAACGAAAUACUCACUGACAAACAUGCUUAUGCAUUCAGUUAAUAGUUACUCUACCACGAUUUCGGACAGCCAAUUCUUUCGAAAAUAACCAGCAAGAAACUCAGCAUUAUGUUGUUUUAAAAUAAAUGUCUAUACUUCUUGACUAAUAUUAUAACGAGGUAAAGUUUGAGCGCUAACGUCCGUUAAGAAAACACUCGUGCGAAUGAUUACUGAAGAGCUAACGAAGUAUUCCUGCCCCUAGUGACCCUGCUUCCUGCAUCCAUGGCCGUGGGUACGAUUCCCACAACUGGAAAAUAUUUGUGUGAUGAGCAUGGGUGUUUUCCAGUGUCUGAGUGUAUUUAUACAUUAUAUAAUUAUUUAUAUGUAGUAUAUAAUUGUAUAUUAAUAUUGUAAUAUCAACUAUCUUAGCACCCAUAACACAAGCUACUCUGUAUGCUUACUUUGGGGCCAGAUAGUGAUGUGUAUUGUUUAAGUACAUUUAUUUAUUUAUUUUAUUUAUUUAUUUAUUCAGUCGUGUAGUCUAAAGCAGACUUUUUUAUGUUCAAAUACUCCAGGAAAACUGAUACAAUUCACGAACGGGAAGCGAAUGUACCUCCUUCACGGCUAUACGUUCUCAAAGAAUAGCUUAAAGGUACCGCUACCCGUUGGAUUUGCUCGCAGCACAUCAAAUGCCCAGUGUACGUCCAUCUGAACCACCAGCACGAAGUACUGCAUGUUGCGCCGAUCAGUCAUGGACACCCGCCUCCAAUUACACAGACUCGCUAACGGAGACUACAUUAGACUAUAGGAGUUAUAUUUCUUACAGUCGAGGUCGCAGCGUUCAAGUUGUUGAUGAUUAAAAAAAAUUGUCAAAUGACGAUGGUUUAAUUUUAAAAAUAAAAGGAUUUAAAAGUUAAAUUGAUUUUUUUCACAUUGGAUUUCUCUAUGCAAUGGAUUUCUCUAUGGAUUUCUAUUAUUUAGAUUUACUCGUAAAUCUUUAUAUAGGCUUUUGGUACGUAGUUGGAGUUGAGUUGUUGAACUGAGAGAGCUUCAAUUUUGGAGUUUAUUUUGAACAAUUGGGUCUUCUAGUGAAUAUUUUCUGCGUCAAUUUACUAUAUGAUUAUUCUAUGUAGCCACAGUGCCCACUUUUAUAAUGCAUAUCACUCAAUACUACACUACACCUUCAAAUUAAAAAUUAAUUUAUUUCAAGUAGGCUUAGUUUACAAGCAGUUUUGAAACGUCAAGUUUGACUAUCUGUAACUCUACCACCGAUUCGGAAGGCAGGUUCUGAUGACAAGAGCCGGCAAGAAACUCAACAGUUGCUCUUUUAAACAAAAAAUCACACAAUAUUACAAUAAUCUACAAUUGUUAACAUCAUUAUUUAUUUGUGAAGGUAGAAGCUGAUCCAAUGGCCUCCAAACAUCUUCUUUAUGUCCAUCCUUAAAUUUUAAUAUUACUUCUAGGUACCCUCAUACUAUGCGGAAAAAAGUGGUUGUAUCUUCACAACGAGUACACAUUUUACAGGCACACACUGCUUCGAAAGGGUGCGGCGUAUCGCUGGGAUUGCACACGGAAUCGGUCAUGUCCAGCUUACGUCCACCUGGACUGUGACCACAACUUGAUAUUCCAACCGCCCUUCGAACAUACCCAUCCGCCUACAAGACUGAUGAGGUUGCGCGACGGUUCUUAUAUCAAAAUAUGAAACCGAACACUCUGUAUGCCCUGGUUAGCUAUAUUACAAUUUGUUAUUCAAAGAAAUAGGAAGCUUCUUAUUUCCACAACACUAAAAAUUAUAUACGUUGCUAAAAACAACAUUACGAAAACAACAUAAAAAAUAAAAUUAAUCACACAGGGAUACAUACGAAUUCGAAACUCACUCUGUCGAGUUACAAAAUAGUUGUUACAGGAUAGCGCUUCAGUAAUAAUAGUAGGUUAAUUGUUACAGAAACGAAAACCUACGCAUAAUUUUUAUAGUUUGUAAUUAUUUGAAUAUAUUUAAUGUUUUCAAAAGUACUGGCUUUAAUAUUUUUUAAAUAUUGUAACACCUGUACUGCUUGCUGCCGUUUAUGCAAAAUGGCAUAAAUGUAAUUUAACCAGAAUAUCAUCAAAAAUCACAUUCAGAGACCAAUGAUUUGUCUAUAACAUCGCUACAAUUCGCCCAAUAAUAAAUCUUUUCUACCUAAGUGUUUAGUAUGACGAUGAUGAAGGCAGGUCACCAUAAAAAAGAAAAAAAUGCCUAUAAAGUUUAUUUUUAUAUCAGAUUUCUUGCAUUUUCACCACCUUGCACAGGGUUGAUACAGUUCGGGUAUAGGAAGAUUAUAGUACGUGCAAAGUUACACUUUAUACAAGCAAUAAAAUUCUGAUAGGAGCCGCCUCUAGGUGUGUGUGCACCAUACGUUGUUGUCACAUACCUACAUAUAUACAUUCAUCUAGAUGAAUACCUAAACCCCCCUUAAAUGCCAACACCUUCAUCCGUGCAUACGUGUCCGCAAGGCACGUGGAACGUAUAGUCGAAGUAGUCGGGCAUACUCCGACCUAAUAUCACGAGAUAGUCGUGUUUCAUAAUCACGUGGAAGAUAUGUUAGGAUUUAGCGUUCUGUUUCUUAUACCCUAUCAGAUUCAUCAACUUUUAAUGAAUAAUGUCUAACAAGUUUCAAAAUAAAUACAAAUUACAUCGAAUUAGUCGGUUAAACGACCAUUAACCCUAAAUAGAUAGCUAACCUUCGCCGAUUCGACGGGCAUCGCACAGAAAUACCGCUGAAAAUGUUUCAUCUCGGCUCAACUCAGUCGCCAGCGAGGUCUCCGCGGUAGUAGUGCAUAGAAUCUCAUAAACCAUGGAAGAUUUUGUGGAAGAAGACGAUAGUGACUAGAAUUAUGAACUAUCUGAUUCCGAAGAAACUCAUGUACGUACACCUCGAGACGUCUUGUCCUCAGCUAUAUAACAUUAUUUUAUCUACGUCAUGCCCUAGUAAGACACCAGAAACCUCAUUCAACUGCCUCAGAGGAUCGGACGAGGUAAAAACCGACAAGGGCUGGGCUACCGCUAAAGGGUAGAAUUCCUCCAUACCACCACCACCAGCAAAUCCUCGCAGACGCUUCAUGAAAAUUCUACAUUUUCAACUUGCAGAGCCACGGUUAAAGAUAAGGUUGAUCAAAAUCAAGAUGUCAAUGCUGGGGAAAGAUAAAAUCAAGAGCCUGAUUUCAGCACACCCGUCUACUAACUUAGAUCAGCAGUCAACGGGUAGAUCAAGUCAGGCUCCUCUGGGAGGACCAGAACAUGAAGAGUGCGAACCAUCGACUUCCUCGGGAGGAGAAAAACGCAAACGAAGAACGUGUGGGAAGUGCCACUACAAGAAAAAGCGUAUGACAAAAAGUGUUUGCGCAAUUUGUAAAGUAGCGAUAUGUGGCGAACAUAAAAUUGACUUUUGUGUUACAUGCGCUAAUGAAAAAUAAAAUAAUUUUUAUUGUGCUAAUUUUUCUAGGAAUCUCAUUUUCGUUAUAGUUGGGGAUUGGGGUGAGGUAAGUUUAUUAAAAUAUAUAAUUUAAUAAUUAAAACUUAAAAUUCAAAUACUUUGUUUUCAUUUACCUUAAAACAGAAAAUAUGUUUAUGUUUAUAUUUUUUUGUGGUGCAAAAUACUUUUUUUUAUAUACAUACCUACCCAUUGUGCCGACGGAUAGUAAGCAUUUUUUAAAGAAUAUUUGCUGUAUAUUUUUUUUAAUAUGACCAAUAUUCCCAUUCCCCUUCAACUAGUCGAAUAAGACUGUAUUAGGAGUGGGUACGACAAUAGUCCAACGGGGCGGGGAUCGAAUCACCACUUAAGUUGAGCUACUGAAGCUUAAACGUAGUAUGUCCCCCGUUGGCUAUCUAGGGUUAGAAAAUAAAGACUCUAUAAUUUCUGGUAACAGAAUGGUUUUCUUUCCAACAUCUGCCUAUUAGAUUUCUGUUGUAAAAAUCUAUAAGUAGCUUUAUAUAAAACAGAUGAAUCCAAAUCGUGGCCCGCAUGUUAUCUGAAACACUGUUGAUAUGUAAAAUCAGUACCCAAAAUAGCUGCGUUUGAGGUUUAACCGACUUGGGCGGGGACAUUAAUCGUUGUCGUGUUCUAGUCGUAGUAAUAAUAGAUAAUCCUAAAACAUUGUUAAAGGUUUAUUUGUUCCCGCUAAGAACAAGCCUUUAACGCCUGCUGAGCGGCAGCGACGAUACCGGGAACGGCUUAAAAACAAUCCAGAAAAGGAAACCAAAAGAAAAGAUCUAGAAAGAUACCAUGCAAAGAAACGCUUAGCACAAGAUUUAGGAACACGUAAACAUCGAGCAUUAAAAAAGAAAUGGCGAUCUGCGAACGCUAGACGGAGAGAGAGAGCAAGACUUCUCCAAAUUAAAAGCACACUCCAAGGCGUGAUUACCACGUUCAAAUGUUCCAGCCCUUAAAAGUUAAAAUCAAGGUAUUUCAAGAGCAUAUCGGUUCGACUUCAUACCUGUAGUUUAGACCCCUGAAAAUUAUUAAUCCAUCAACGGCUGCAAGAGAUUAUAUCUAAAUGAUCUGAGGAACAAAUAAAGAAAAGAGACAGAACGAAAAGGAUAAAUUAUUUAGAUAUAUAUAUAUAUAUAUGUACCAUAAAAUUGGUAUAUCUAAAGCAUCUGAGAAACGAAUAACGAGAAGAGGCAGAACGAAAAUAAUAAGUUAAUUACAUAAAUAGGAAUAAAAUUUUUUUUUUACAACGCUAUCUAUUAUCUAUUAAUAAUAAAAACAAUCCAGAAAAUAAAGCAGAAUCUAAAAGAAAAAAUCUGGUACGAUAUUUCGGAACAGGUAAGCAACGAGCGGCUAAAAAUAAAAGACGACAUUUAGCAUUCAGAGAAUGCUAAACGCAGAGGGACAGAGUUUUUCGUAAUAAAAAGCACACUGCAAAGGCGUUAUGAUUUCUUUUACAUAAAAUCCGUGUGAUGCGAUGCGUAUGAUGUGGACGCCUGCCGUAUAUCGGCAACAAAGUUUUAUCAAAAGCCAUAAAAUUACCAACAUUAAACUUUUUUGGAUACUCGGAGAAUACACCAGUUUCAACACAAUUUUUUUUUUACAAUUCUGUUUACAAUCUGUGGUAUUUUGCUUAGUUCAGAUGGCAAGCUAAAUUAGAACAUUUUUGGAGAGGAUUUUUUUUCAAUAUUUAUUUUUGGAAAUAGUCCAUAUAUAUGUGAAUCGAUAUCUAGCAUCAAUACAAAUACCUAUAGUACCAAAACCAAAUAAAGCAGCUCGUGUCCGCAGUUGAUGAUAUCUUAAUUAUGUAAUGAGGAGAUCCGCAGAAGAACCAAAGUCACCGACAUAGCUCAAUAAGUCGCGAAGCUGAAGUGGCAAUUGGUGGGGCACAUAGUUCGCAGAGCAGAUAUACUUUGGGGUCUCAAGUCAAGGUCUGCUGGAACGGCAACCACGAACUAGAAAGCACAGUGUUGGUCGUCCCCCCACCAGAUGGACUGACGACAUCAACCGAGUCGCCGGGAUUCGCUGGAUGCAAGCGGCAUAGGAUCGUGAUAUUUGGAAGUCCCUACAAAAAGCCUAUGUCCUGCAGUGAACGUGAAUUUACUGAUAUGAUGAUGAUGGUGAUAAAAUUAUGUAAGUGGCCAUCUUAUAAUAAGUGAAAUCGUCUCCAAAAUCGUAAAAGUUCGUAAAUUUAUUUUACAAUUUUUUUUUCGAUUCUAGAGCUUACUAUAUAGGUAGAUACGUACCUAAUACAGACCUCAGAAAAAAAAAUAUUUUGAUUUUUUACAUAUUUGUUCAAGCAACAAUCAUAGAGUAAUGGAACGAAUUCCAUAGCGGUCUUUGAUAGUAGUAAGCUAAGCUUGAAGCAUGCUUUAACAUUUUUAGAAUGAAGCUUUAUUUUAUUUUCGUUAAAAUCGGACGUAAGGUAUAAAAGUUAUUCGAAAAAAUCGGGUAUUCGCUAAUCAUGAUCAAAUGACGUGGUAAAAGCUUUUAAAUUGAUUAAGUCAUCAAUUAGUAAUAAAUCACAGUACUCUAAAGCUUAGUAUAACUAGCUCACUUUUUGCAGUUAUUUAGCUAAGCUAAAGUAGUCAUGUCAUUCUGACGGUAUUAUCUUUACUCAGUAAUCAUUGCCAUUAUGAGAUGCCCUUUGUUUGUUUAAGCAAGCGCUUAGCUGCAAUCACGCCUGACGGUAAACGGUAAUGUAUGCUAUGGUGGAACGCGCUUGCCUAGAAGAUGCCUAUUCACUCUUGACUUGAAGAUAUAUGUGGUGGGGGAAACAGAAGCUGGAAGAGCAUUCCACAUAUUUGCAGUGCGUAUAAGGAAAGAGGUACUUAACCGCUUAGUACGCGUCCGAGGAAUGUCGACGACAAUUGUUAUUUUAAGGUCUUCCUCCAGAAUUGGAUUUGGAGCUUAAAGUUUUCAUAUAUAUACGGGUUAGAGAGCUUAGGGUGAUACUAUCAGAUGUUAUUGAUAAUGAUCUCACAUAGUGUUUAAUACAAUGUAUCUACAGAGAACAAUAGUCCACGUUGAUAUUCCAUUUCAGUAAACAUAUUCAUGACGUCACGCGGUAAGGAGCGCUUGGUGUACGACAACUUUACGUACUACAAGCAGAGCCGCACACGCAGCGGCUUCAGGUGGGGAUGCACCAAGAACAGGUGGCACCGGUGCAAGGCGUACCUCCAUCUGGCUGAUGAUCUCACUAUCGUAAGGAGUAACAUGGUACACACGCAUCCGGCUUGCUAUUAAAUGAAACUCAGUACACAUAGUUAAAGAAAACCUAUUUAUGUACAUUGUACCUACCUACACAUUACAAUCACGUUAUUCUUAUAUCAGCCACUGACGAUCAAGUAAGCUCACAUGCCUGCAGCGCGUCAUCAGUUUUAUCGGCUGUCAAACCGUUAGUGCUGCAGGCAUGUGUGGCACUUGAUGGUCAGUGGCUGACUUUAGCUUCGGAGAGCACGUUAUGGCGUUUACUAGUCAGUGGAAGUAAUGUUUGAUAAAAUUAUCUCUAAAGAGACUCGAAUUUUGCCAAUAUGCACUCGAGCUAUGUACCUUUUUAAAGCUAUACAUUGUCUCCACUUGAUGGCCUUAUGAAAAUUCGUUGAUUAAUAUUAUUUUAGUUAGUAAAGUUUUCUGUUAAAUAUAUUCGUAAGGUUUUUAUCAACAUUACUUUGAUGGGUUACUCAUCUGUGAAAUACUACAUUCUUCUUAGAAAAAGAAGUUAAACGAGAUCAAAAAUUUUAUUGAAAAGCUAAAACUUAUUGAACAAUCAUAAGAGGCAAAAAGCGAGUAAUUACAUUUAAAACCGCUGCGAACUCUAGGCUAGAUUUUUGCAGUAUUCUGCCGUGUAAACGGUUCGGUGUACAACGUAUAUGCGACUAUUUAUUUGUUAAAACAUUUACUGUAAAAACGUGCAGGAUCUAGACUUACCGCCGUUUUCAAUAACCUAUCUAUCCGCCAUUUCGCUUACUAUCUUUUUGUUCUUAUCUGCUUUUCAAUAACCUACUGACAGAUAGUUUGACUAUGUAAAGAUAGUUUGAGUGUUACUGUUAAUCGAGGAUAGCUAUCUAUCCGUAAUCUUGGAUAAGUUAUAGAAAACGGCCGAUAGUCCCCAAUGCCAGUCAGUACUCACCUUAACGACUCUACCGAAGAAUUCCUUUUCACAAUCACAAAAUGCAAUAGAUGUUGGUAUGUCUCACAUAAAUUCUCACUAUGCCUUUGAGCCGAGAUAUGGGUAGAGUGGUCUUAUAUCACGUUUUGGUGCUAUUAGUGAUGGCGGUUAUAGUGAAAGACUGUUGAAUGAUGUCUGUGCUAACUGAUGUGUUAUUUUUUAUUUUUAUUAAAAGUAUUAUAAAAUAUAUUUAGUUUUCUGUCCAGGGAAAUGUAUAUUACGUUAUUUCGUAUAUUGAUUUUUAUUAUUGAUAAGAUGGUGAAGACACGUAUUCAUUAAUAUACAUUUUGUUGUUAUUGUUACUAAUACAAAUUGUCGUAUCUGUUAUUUUAUGUCUCAGAAACAAAAAUGAAUAUUGAAUCAUGUUUUACGAUUUAUCAGUACUUAAUAUAUAUUGUACUUUUUUCUACAAUAUUAUCUACAAGUUAAGCCAUUGACUACAAUCUCACCAGAUUGUAAGUGAUGAUGCAGUCUAAGAUGGAAGCGGGCUAACUUGUUAGGUGGAGGAUGAAAAUCCACACCCCUUUUCACUUUAACAUUAGCUGUGAUUUGAUUCCUCUUAGUAGUCGAAUCAUGUUCCAGGUAUUCGAAUCAGAUGUAUAUUAGUGAAUACUUGGCUUUAGAAGGGCCAUUGCACACGUAUAUACGUAAUUAAUGUAGAGCUUCAUAAAGUUUUAAGAAUAGAGUACCUAUACAAUUAUUUCCUAUUUUUUUUUUAACUUUCCAUAUUUGUUUUCUAAGAUAAAAAUUAUUUGCUUAAUUUUAAAUACAGUCCAUGAAAUUCACUCACUGGCGUUUCUUUUUUUUUGUGCUUUUAAUAUUUGAAUAUGUAAGCAAAAACACAAUUACAUAGUCACAGGUAGACACGAUGAAACAAACCAGAGACACGUGUGAGUGAAUUGCAAUAUGUAUUAAGAUUGUUUUUUAGAUAUAAUAGAUUUAGAUGUAAUAAAGUGACCAUAAUUUUAAUAUUCCUAUGAUCUCAAUCGAUCUCUGUGUAAAAAUUCUAGUCGUUUUUAGUGAUUGAUGUUAAAAUUAUCUGUGAUUUAUUUUUAAUAUAAUUUUUAAAUUAUGAAUUAUUGUUAUACUGUGCUUCAUAUUUAUGUCAAUUGAAUGUUAAUUACAUAUCACAGUAGUCAUUUGAUUUGCAUUGCCUUAAAAACAAAUAAAUGUAAUUACCUUACUAGAUACUAGGUUUAGUCAUUUAAAAAAAAUAAUUUUUGGCUUUUAAUGAAGUUGUUUAAAGACCACACACAAUAAUAUUUUCAAUAAGCAAUAUUGGGUGAGAUUUCUCAAAUUCUUUUUUUUAAUUUUUUUUUUUUUUAUUAUUCUUUACAAGUUAGCCCUUGACUACAAUCUCACCUGAUGCAAUCUAAGAUGGAAGCGGGCCAACUUGUUAGGAGGAGGAUGAAAAUCCACACCCCUUUCGGUUUCUACCGACGCCGUCUUACUUGUAAGUAAUAUUACAGUGUUAUCUCCUUAUAUUAGGGGUACAACUAAAGAAACCUUACCCAAUUUUAUUAUUGUGUAUGUUAGUGAAAUCUAAGAUGUUGACUAAGUAGACAAUAUUCUCUUUGGUAAUUUUAUUUUCGUAAAUGUCUGUUUCUUUUCAAUCUAGAUUUUACCAAAGUAUUACACCACAAAUAGCGCACAAGAUCUUUUAAUUUAUAUUUUUUUGUAACAUAAAAUGUAAUAAAAUUAUAUCAGGUUAUGUUAUUUUUAAUGUUUAUUUGUUAUACAAUUAAAAUAAAUGUUGUUAUAACAGAAUCUGUAAAUGAAUACGAGUAUUAUUGUGCGUGUUUCAUAUUGUGUGACAAAAUGAAUUGCACUUGCGUCUUUUGAAAUUAUAACUUAUGUUAUAGUUAUUUUAUCUAAUAUAAAAUCUUAUCAUCUAUUUUUACUCAGUAGUUUUUAUUUUACUACCAAUACAUGAGUUUUGAAGUAAAUGAAAUGACAAAUAUACGGUAAGCUUGUCGUCUUUAAAUUAUUAUCGAUAAAUUAUGUUAUUAACCUUGAAAUUAAAUCAUUUAUGUUAAUUAACUAAAAUUCUUUAUUAAUUUUCAAGUCUAUUUGAAGAAAACUAACCUUUUUUUUUAAUUUUUCACUAAAUUGUAAGUUUUACAUAUUGUUUCGAAUCAAAUGACACCUUGUACAUACAUUUCCGUGGCUGUUAAAUAAAGCUAGCCAAAAAAAAGGGUGUGUCAUCUCCGACGCACGAAUGGAGUUUACUCUUAUAGAUCGACUGUCUUAAUAGUUGUAUGUUGCCCCUCAGCAUACACUAUGUACGUAUCAAUACCUACGCCUGAAAAGUGAAAGGUGCGCAACCGAGGAGCAGCAAGCCGCGGCGUGCGCGCGCCUCAGACCAACUAUUGUAUAGGACCAGCCUCGCUAGGUGUUACUUUUCUGUCAAACUAUAUGAUCGACGAUCUAAUGCGAUUAUAAAAGCUGUCUCUACAGAAUCGAUGUUAAAUAGUUGUAAACGCAUUCGUCGAUUAAAGAGCUCCGUAAAAAUACCUUUUUGUUUAGUUGAAUGGUGUAAAAAACGGACAAAACUUCUAGUUUAGUAUAAGAUAUAUACCAAAUCUAAGCUCGUUUUCCUCAGAAAAUGACCGACAAUUUUGUUUGUGACUAUGAGUGCGAUACAGGUCCUUCUAUAAUUGGUCUGAGGCGCGCGCAGAAUAGGUUGCGCACAAAAAACGUAACGCUGUCAUUCGUUCAUCGAAUUUUACUGCCCAUAUUUUUUCAUACCGGGGGCUAUAUAUGAAAAAUCGAUUCUUAAGAAGUAAACUCCAAAAAAAAAAAAACAUCUGUGAGUCAGACUAUAUUGACACAAGUCUAUAUGUAUGUGUUAUGAUCUCUCUUUUAGCAACUUAUAUCACACUGACCAGAGGCUCUAGGCUCCUUAUGUAUGACAACUACACAUACUUCAAGAGCGGAACUAUCCGAGACGGCGGCAACAGAUACACUUGCUCUUGUUACUCUAAGCAGAAAUGCAAAGCUCACCUUCACGUUAAUAAGGAUGACGUCAUCAUCUAUAGUAACGCAGAACACAAUCACCCUCCGCAGAAGUUUAUGAGAACGCACGGUGGACUGUAUGCUAGGGUGGAUUGGUAAGUGUUCAUUUACACGAGCGGCAGCUGCUACCGACGACUGCAGUCGGCGGCAGGCGAGGGCGUCGCCGAAUACAGGCAGCGAUGUCUCGGCGGCAGUCAACGGAAGUUGAUGGCAAUGGGCGACCGCCGUCGACCGCCGAUGAGAGUCGACUGCAGUCUAGGACGCGCUUUCGCCUGCCGCGCAACGUCGCUGACUGCAGUCAACUGCCAUUGGCAGCCACCGAGACUUCGCCGACUGCAGUCAACUACCGUUGGCUGCCGCCGAGACGUCGCUGACUGCAGUUGACUGCGAUCGUCGGUAGAGUUGUCGCUCGUAUAAAUGAACCCUAAGACUGUUAAACUACAACAAUUUUUGCUUCAUUAAUUUUUAUCGGACUUGUCAAGCCACCGUAUAUCCACAUAUGGAACCAUAGGAGAAAAAUUAUACCUAAAAUUAUCCUUUGAUAGUAAAGUUUAAUUGAUUUGAAAAUUUUAAAAGAAACUAUUUGCUAAACACAUAAUAUAAUAAGUAACUAUUAAGAAAUGUUGUCUUAUUUUAACAUUUAUACAAAACACAUAAUAUAGUUAAACUUCAUUAUAUUUGGCAACCUAACUUGGCAACCUAAUAGUGUACUUUAUAUAAUUUGUGCUGUGGAAAACUUAAAACAAGAGUAAACGAAAGUAGCAACAUGAUUUUCUGAGACCAUCGAAAACACACUUGGCUUUUAACGCAGUUGUUGUAGUGCAAAUUUCUACGUAUACUAGAGAACUACCUUAUUUCCCUAUAUUCAUUUGAAGAAUCAGGGACUCAGAUAAAAAAAGAAAACUUAAAAGAAACGUUUCAUUUUAGCAAAUUUCAUCAUUCCAUCGAAAUUGCAUUUCUGCGAAGAAUACACAUACUUCAGAAGCGGUGUCAUUUAUAGAGGUGGUUGGAGAUUUUGGAAAUAUAGCUGCUCAUGUCUGGACAGUAAGAAUUGCGGGGCGCACGUUUUUGUUCACAAGGACGAUAUUAUCAUCACAGAAACACAACACAAUCAUCAUCCGCUGGAGUACGUGAAGACAAAGAAGAGUCUCUAUUUACAAGUUUGAGGACUUUGACAACAACUACAAAGAUUAGUCCGUCUUCUAAAGAUGUGUACGGAUAACGCGUUUCUGUGUUACGCGUAGUUGAGAAACACUGUCCAUGCGUACAUUGGAUACGCGUACAGCCAUCGAUAUGAAUCAUUUGAUGGGCCCCUCCAUACUAAAGAACGCACAAUUUUAUGUCAACGAAAGACGUGCACGCACAUCUUAUCUGAGUACGUAACAAGCGCAUGCUGCGAAUGGACGUGGACUUAAAAAAAUAUUUACUGUUUUUUUUCAUUUCAACGAUACGCAUUCUCCAAGAGUGUACGCGUAAAGUCUAGCAAGUUCGUUGAUAAUACUCCCAUGAUAUGCGGGCGACGGGCGGAAAGACAGCGCGGUGUGAAAUCAUGCGUGCGGGGAAAUGACGUGCAUCAGUCGUGGGUUUUUCAUUCAUCGCUACAGUGUUACGAACGAAGUUGCCAAGUUAUCGCUGCAAGUAUGGACAUGACGUUCCGGACACGCGUAAACUGACUACGCGCUAUCCGUACGCACCUUAACAGUUUAUUUUUUAUUUUUUUAAUGUUUCUUUGACUGAUUCUUUUUCCUUUUUAAUUAUAAAAUAUAUAAUUACGUGUAUUUUAUAAUCAUGCGUAUUACCAGUAAUACCAAUAUGGUACAAUUAGCCAAUAUUUUAUUUUUUUUAUAUGUUGACUUAAGAUUUCACAUUAUGGCGUUUUACGUAAAAUGAAUGCAAUAACAUAGUCCUUGUAUGUAUGUACUUAAUAUUAAAUUCCUCGGUUGGUAACUAAUCCUAAACAUUAGGGACUUGUGAUACGAGUAAAUUUGAUACUCAGAGGCUGGCACAUUCCAAGAAUGGAAAGUACCUACCGAGCUUCUAUGGAUGUAUGUUUGGAUGUUUGUUACUCUUUAACGCCGCAACUACUGAACCGAUUUGGCAGAAAUUUAGAAUGGAAAUAUAUUUUACUCUGGAUUUACACUUAAUAAACUAUUAAAAAUCCAUGGUUCCCGAGGGAUUUGUGAAAAACUAAAUUUCACGCGGACGAAGUAGCGGGCGUCCGCUAGUUUACUUAAAUAUCACUGAUUCGCCAAGUAAUUUUAGUUUUGUUUUUUUAACUAUAUUUGAAACGACUGUGUUUUGAUUUUGAUAGAAAUUUUCAUUUUGUUGUUUUUUUAAUAUUCCUUAAUAAUUCUUACUACUUUUUUCCGAGUUGUUGUUCGAAAUAUUUGGCAAGGCCAUUAUUGAGUUUUAUGUAACGAUUUCUACUGUUGUUAUGUUCCUACUAUGAAAGUAUUAUGAGUUUAAAAGUUAAGAUUUAGUUGUGGUUAGUAUUAGUUUUGUUCAUGUCACUAAAAAGUGCCAUAAUAUGUUUAGGUAUUUGCUAUUUUUCCAAAUAUUGUGUUCAAAGAAUGCUUUAAUUAAUAAACAUGUUGGAUCAAGUCUUAGGGUUGUUAAUUUUAAAUAUAUUAUUACUAAUAUUAAACGUCUCUUAUUCUUAUUCCGUACGAUUCAUAUGUAUAUGCAUUCUUACUACAUGUUUCUUAGUCAGUAAUCGUUGCUACUACUUGUUCCUACUAUGACAGUGAUUUUAAGUUUUUUUUUUUUAUUUUGUAAUAGUUUUGAAAAGUUUAUUUUUGUUUAUGUCAUAAUAUUUUCCUUGUUUUAGAGUAGGUACUAUUUUUUUAAUAUUGUGUUCACCGAAUGCAUUAAUAAAUAAACAUAUUUGAACAUGAUUCUGAUUACCAGACAAAGAUUUUAUACUAUAAGAUAUGUCGCUAGCGCAUCGAAACUAAGCCGGACAAACUAGCUAGCUAGCUAGCGCAUCGAAACUGAGCCGGACAAAAGAGGCUACGACUUGACUUGGCUUUCGAGGCUUGACUUCAUUUCAUUUAGUCGCAUUGUAAACAACGUUAUUUAAAAUAAUAAUACCUAAAUAUUGUCUACAAUGUCGAGUCUAUAGUGUGUUCAAGAAGUGUAAAAACUAUAUAUACUUGCAUAAAUAUAUACUGUAAGUUAACACAAAAUUGUACAUGUGUGCGCUCAGUAGAGAAGCUAAAUUCAGAUCACAUUUGUGGUGAUUUUGUAGGUACGUAACAUGUCUAUAAUAUAAAAUCUUUGUUAUCAGAUUAAUGUGAUUCAACUCAUAGGGUUGUGUUAUUUUUAAAUACUUCACUAUUAUAAAACAUCUCUUAUCUUAUUCGAUACGAUUCAUGUUUCUUAUUAAUAAUAAUAUACUUACCUAUGGAUUUUUUUGGAAAAUCUACUAUUUAGGUAAAAGAUAGAAGAGCUACAUAUUUGCUAACGAAUGCUAAUUCAUUAUUUUUGGAUUUUGAAAAAUCGCCUAGAUAGAAUUGCGAUUAUCUUUCCCUAAUUCUCUAGGGAAAGAUAAUUCCGAGUUCAAAUUCACGUACCUUUAUUCCUUUGUUUAUCAGCUCGAAAGCCAAAUAUUCAAAGAUCGUGAUGUUUUGUACAAACUCUGUAAUAGUACGAUUAUCUGAUAUUAAAUGUGUUUAUUUAACUGGCCAUUUUCUUUUUGAGUAUUGCGUUUUAUGUGACAUAAGAUUAUAUGUUUAAAAUAAUAGGAUUUAGCAAAAGAACAUCUCAUUCAGUCAGUUCGAGUAUUUGAAUUGCUUUACCUUAUCAGCCAGAGAGUAGGUAUAUUGAAAAAACUUUGAUUUUUCCAAACAGCAGUAUGUCUAUUUAAAAUGUUUUAAUGACUUACAAUCCAGGACUUUUCACAAUUCAUUUAUAGUAUUCUGAGCAUUCGUACCAAUUUUUAGCUCUAUCUAACGUUACUACUAUUUUAAGGAUUAAUUUGACUGGACUAUUAAGUUAACAUAACGAGAUAACAAAAAGUUUCGAUUAUUACAACUAACCAAAUAAUGAUUUUACAGAAAUCGCGAAAUAUAUCCAAUUGGCGUCCGGGACUAAACUGCUUCUGUAUAAAAAGUUCACAUUCUCGAAAAGUGGUAAAACACGUGGCGGAGGGUCAAGAUUUACCUGCUCCUGCGCUCACAGCAAGAACUGCAAAGCGCACGUGCAUGUUGACAAGGACAACAGGAUCACUUCGACUGCAGCCGCGGCCGAACAUAGCCACGAACCGCUAAAAUACAUGAAGACACCCGAGGGUUAUGUGCGUAUUAACCCUAAAUUCCCGUAUCAUUUCGAUGUACAAGCUGAGGAAUUUGAAGAUUAAUAUUUACUAGAGUACUGUAAUGUUUACUUUUCUAAGGCCUCAUUCGUACGAGAGUUAAAAAAAGCGACGCGUUAAAAGCGUUGGCGGGCGUAGCGUGUAUAAAGUUAGAUCUAUUUCCAACGCCCAAAAUUUAAAAUGCAACACUGUCCAAUAAAAAGGCGUCGUGUUUUAAAAACGUUGUCGUGUGAACAUAUACUUGGCUUAGCCCUCAUUCUUACGAGAGUUUUUUUAACAAACAUUAAAAAACGUUCAAAUACAACAAAUGCAUUUCCAAGUAUAUGUGUUCACACGACAACGUUUUUAAAACAUGACAAUUUUUUUUGAGCAGUGUUGUAUUUUCAAUUUUGGACGUUGAAAUAGACCAGUGUGCUGUUUCGCUGUCAAUUUUAUUUCUUUUAUAUAUUUUUUUUGUAUACUUAAUAAUAUAUUUGAAUUUCUUGUUGAAUUCAAAAUAGAUAUAAAAGUUAUUCUAUUUUAAAGAUUAUAAAUUAGUUAAGAUUAAAAAUAAUAUAAGCUAUAAUGAUAUUGUAAUCUUUUUCAAAUACAUUAUUAUUGAUAAAGUUUUGUAGAAUAGGAAUUCGAAAUUUAAAAAAGAAAAUUUUGCCUUUCGCCUUUAGCUUAUUAUUAAAAAUAAACAUUUUUAUUUUAUCAGUAAUUCUCCGUUUUUGCUAAAUAUGUACAGUGUAUACCUACCUAUACACUAUAUAUAUUCAGCAAAGUAACAUAUUUAAGCUCUAGUAGUUUUUCUUAUUAAUAAGUAGGUUCGUGCUUGUUCUUCAAAUAUGUGGCUAGAUAGUAUAACAUACCUAACUUAUAAUUUUGACUUAAAAAUAUAAAAAAAAAAGUUCAUAUAAAAUCAUUUUUAAUGUUAAGAAAUUAAAUUAAAUUUAGAGAUAUUGUGCAAAGUAUUUAUCUGGACAUAACAUUCUGUUAUUAAUUACCAAGAAUUUAUUUAAUGUUUUUCACAUUUCCUUAUAAUUUUAUUUGUCAGUGAGAGAAGCCCAUUAGUCAAAGAUCCAGCAUUAUAAAUAUAUACCUCAUCUGUUAUUGAUUAGUGCUAAGAAAUAAAUGAUAGAUAAUGUCACAGUAACACAUUGCAAAUAGACUGCCUAGUUAAAUUGAGGCUUAACACAGUUAACACAAAAUCUAGGAACCCAUGAACUACAGCCUUUCUUGAUGAGUACUGUUUACCAAUAAACAAAUUAAAACCGGGGGUAUAAGUCAUUUCACACCUAAUAAUAAUUAUAAUUAACUUGUUCUUCAAUUAAUAAAAAUAAAUUUGAUUAAUAAGCUUAGAACAAUUAAAUAUGGUUAAUAUAUUUUAUAAACAAACCAUACAUAAUUUAAAAUAAAUAAGUUAUGAAAUGACACACGUUUUCAUUUCUAAUUUCUUUGUUGGUAAACAGUGCUCUUAAGAACGGCUGUAGUAUAGAUCAAUGGCAACCUAAAACAGUAAUAAAAUGAAAUAAAGCAUAAAGUAACCUUUCAUUUGACAUAUUAGACGACUAAAUAACUGAUGAGGAUAUAUAAAUACCAUUACUUAACUGUUUAUAUCUGGCAACUCCACAGUUGCCAGAUAUGUUGAAGGCAGGCAACCUUUACUUUUAUGCCGGAUCUCGUACUACAUGUAUGUAUUCAAAGUACGUACAAAUACAAUGGUAUAGUAUACAUCUGUAUGAACUGUCAAUAUUAUAGUGAUCGUUCGUAGCGUGUGUUACAAACUUAUAAAUAUACAUAAUUCAUGUACCUUUAGGUAAACGCGGCUUUCAAUAAAGUGUAUUACUGCAGUUGUAGUUUUUUUAUCUAACAAGAAGUUAUAUUGGAUCAUUCUGGACUAUUGUGUAUUUUAAAACAAUGAUUAAUCAUUAAAUCGUGAAACCUGUAUACGGGUGUAUUGUUUGUAAUGAAUGGUCAGGGCCAGGCCUCCUUACACAUAGAAGAGGGCAAUAAAAGAUCGUUGGAAGAGGAUAUAUGGAGUUUUGACGCAUUACGCUGCUCGAAUACGGGUUGGCGGGCGGGUGGUAAUGUUUCUAUAUAACGACUACUUCAGAGGCCCGAAGCCACAUAGGCUAAAGUCUGGCCGCUCAGAGGUUGCGUUUCUGACAGUUCGUGAUCGGUUGGGCGAUGUAAAUUCGAACUUGCGUACAAUUUACGGCGAAAUUUUAAAUAUCCUUAAUAACGAGUUAGAAGAGCCGUGAUAGCCCAGUUUAGGACAUGCACCUCCAACUUUCAGUUAUGGUUGUCACGUGUCUCAAACGUUGAAGGGCUAAUCCGCAUUGGGCCAGCGUGGUGGGCCCAAACCCUCUCAUUCUGAGAGGAGACUCAUGUUCAAGCAGUAAGCCGAGUAUGGGUUGAUGACUGAACAUUAAUAACGAGUAAUAAAAAUUGAGUAAUUAUGUCAACUUAAAAUAAACGUAUUAAUUUUGGGCUAAAACUACUAACAAUUAACAAAUAUAAAAACAAUAGGUUUUAAAAGUAACCACUUGAAACUGCGCUGUUUUAAAGUUAUGCCAACUUUGUUGUUUAUAUUUGUAGUGAUGAGACAAAAUAACGAGGCAACUGUAAUUGGAUACGUUUGUCCCAUUCAAUCACGACCUGCCAAAAACGCAAUCUUUGAGCGGUCAGACUUUAACCAUUGAUCCAACCAGGCAGGUGUCAAGUACCUAAUUGUAGUUGUAAAAUUUUCAAGGUCAAAUAGUGAGGUCCGUCGGCGGCAUAGAGUUCUAUCUUCUUGAUGGAUACACGUACAGCAAAAAUCAGAUAUUCUUCGACGGUGGGAUACGGUACGCUUGCAGAAACCGCAUGUCGAAGAAAUGUCCGGCGUUCGUGCGCUUGUCCAAACGUAAAGUCAUAUUGAAAUGCAAUACUGUACAUAAUCACGAGCCGCCGGGAUUUAUUUUUACUAAAGAUGGAUAUUUUGUGAAGACGUGAAGAGGAGCCUGCGAUUGCCAGACUUGAAACAUUUUAUUAACCGGCUUCAAGGAAAAGGAGGAGGUUUCUCAACUCGUCCGUAUAUAUUUAUUUAAUGCUGAAAGUUCGUCAGUCUAUGCUCCUACGUUACGCCAGCCACACACGGUCAGGUAUAUCUUGAAAUCUGCAGCACUCUGUUUUUCUUAGUUAAUUAUAAUUUUAGUUCUUUUUUAUUAUUAUUUGUAAUUAAUUAGUUUAGUUUAGUUACCUAUCUACAAAAUUUCAUAAAAACACUUUUCCUUCAUCCACCUGUUUAAUGGAUUUAAAGAGAUGGAUGAAGUCGUUUCUAAUACGGAUCUUAGACUAUACCUGUAUUCGCUAAUUUGUAAUAUAAAUUGAAAGUCAUAAUAUAUGUAAAUACACUGCAGUAAAUAUUUUGAGUUUAAUUUUCUUCAUAAAUCAAUUAUGUACUUACGUAAUUUAUGAGGAGGUGAAGUUUGUUUGUAAACCCCACAGGGAUCUCUGGAUGUACUAAACCGAUUUUAAAUAUUCUUUUACCGAUAGAAAGCCACGUUUUUGCGUGUCCCCGUACUUUAACGGGAACGGGAACUACGCGGUUGAAAACGCGGGUCUUCGUCUAGUUCUUCGUAAUGAAUUUCUGCUUCUAUUUGUCAACAACUUAUAUUUGGCUCACUGAUGAGCACGAGUCUCCUCUCUGAAUGAAAGGGGUUAGGCCAAUAGUCCACCACGCUGGCCAAAUGCGAAUUAGCAGACUUCACACACGUAGAUAAUAGGAAAAAUUCUCAAUUAUGCAGGUUUCCUCACGAUGAUUUUUCAUUAAUUUCUUAAAAUGCACAUAACUGAAAAGCUAGAGGUGCAUGCCCGGAUCGAAUUGGAACCUACGCCCUCUGGAAUCGGAGGCAGCGGUCAUAUCCACUGUGCUAUCACGGCAUAUAACCAGAGGCUUUUCUAAGUUAGAUCGCGAUUUUUUGGUAAGGAAUCCGGAAGCUUGAGGCCCCCGGGGCAUUGGACCACCUAGCCCCAGGGUAGCCACGCCAUUGCAUAUAACACGGCACUGCUUCUAUUAAAUAUUUCUAAUUUUAGGACAGAUAGUGACGGCGGUCGGCGGCUUAGAGUUCUAUCUACUGGACGGUUAUACUUACAGCAAGAACCACAUUUUCCCCGACGGCGGCAUCCGGUACGCUUGUCGGAACAGACUGUCAAAGAAGUGUACCGCGUUUGUCCGCAUGUCAAAGUACAACACUAUAAUGAGAAGUAAAACUGAACACAACCACGAACCGGCGGGGUAUACUUUUACAAAAGAUGGAUAUUUUGUAAAAACUUGAAAUAUUAUACACAGUGGCGUGCACUUCAUAGAUGCAAAAAUGCAUGUUGGACCACAGAAUGCAUGGUUGGACAAGGAAUUUUACAAUUAUUACAUAAAGUGCAUACCCUAGUUAAAAACCUUAAUCACGCUACUGGAAUAUACAGGUGUCCUAUAAAUCAGCGACAUGUUAUACUGUUUAUACUACAUUUACGUUUCAUAUAAUCGUUUUAACAUAAAAAUGGACCGGCUGCAUAGGUAUUUCAAUUAUUUUGAUUUUAACACAAAAUUACUUGAGUAACAGAUUUUUAUGAAAAUUAAAUGCGACCAAUCUAGAAGUAUAUAAAUAUAUCCUUUCAGACAAAAUAAUAAUAAAUGAGGAAGUUAUGAGGCAACAAACUAAAAUAUAUACGCGUCGAAUUAAGAACCUCCUCCUUUUUUUGAAGUCGGUUAAAACGCCAUACAAAACUAAUUGUGCCCAGUUGUAGUGUUUGUGUAUAUAUACACCGCGGGGAGCAACAAUUGACAAAUUUUAACAUAUGAGUAAUUCCAUGAGCCGAGCGUUUGACAGUGAUCACCGAGUCUUUGGACCGUGCGAGUAUAGGCACAAUUUAUGUCGUUACCUGUACCUGUAAUUAACAACGCAAGUGGAAUAUACUUCCUCUAAUUCAUUGAAAGUAAUUAGAUUUGUCCUGAAAAAAUCCGUAGGGUAGGUAUAUAAUAAUUUAUUUAUUUUAUACGUUGUAGAGUCAACAUCUCCUAAGGAUGUUCCGGUUUCGGGGUGAAACGUACGUAGAGAGUAUUUUGUCGGACCUGGGUGACGUUGUUGCAUGGGUUCGUCGGCUUUUCGCGGAUGAUAUCAAAAUAAAUAAAUUAUUAUAUAUUUAUAAUGCACUUCCGCAAAGUAACGCCUGCUUUUAUCCUAUAAAUCCGUAGGAUCAAGUUACAUUUUUUUAACAGUUUUUUUUUGUAAAUGCUGUUAGCUGCUGUAAUUAAUAUUAAAUAAAAUGUAUCUUCUAUUUGCGUUUGAUUAGCAGUUGCGAACCUAUGUGUUAGCAAGCAAAAUAAAGCUUCAACAACUAACGGACGCCCGCGACUCUUUUACCUUUCAUCCUUGAUGAAUAAAGGUCUGCAUUUGGCUUAAAACUUAAAUCUGUAAAAACGGUUGGAUAUUUUAAAAUCGUGAACAAAUAGUACCUUUAUUAUGUUUUUAAAUCAAAGUAUCAUUCAAUACUUUUUUUAAAAUAAAGUUUCAUGUUAGAUUUAAAUAGUAUUAUUAUUUUUAUUCUGUAACAUUUUAUGUAAUUUUGCUAUUUAGGUAUUCAAGCAAAAAUAACAACCCUCUGGUUUCGUGCGCGUAGCACAAUGAUUCCAAAGAAAAAUGUUUACUUAAUACCUUUACAACUCAACGAAUAUUAUAAAGAGUUCGCAUAAUUACUCUGGUGUCAGGGAAACGGUUGGCGAUGUUGCACGGUUUCACAUUCCACAAAACUAAGAUGACGAGAAAAAGUGGCGGAGUGAGGUGGCGAUGCUCCUACAAGAUGAAGGGGUGCCGGGCUUUCUGCAUUCUGGACGAGCAAGGCCGGCUUUUGGACUGCAACAACUACCAUUGUCAUUUGCAGCCGCGUUAUACAGAAAUCAAUGGAUUAUACUACAAACAAUAUGAGUUUUAGACAUUUUGUACUAAAUUAAAUUGGAAAUUUUAUACUAAUGUUAUAACUGCACUGAUUUUUUGCCGCCUUUAUAUAUGAAUAUUAUCUAGUUUGAAUCACAACAUGAGUUUUAGUUCAUCAAUAGACAUGUUCAGGAUUAUAUGGACUUUUAUACUUUUAAUCUCAACUAUAUUAGAUUAAAGAUUUGUUCUAAUCUAUAUCUGUCGUUUUUAUAACUUAGCUUCAUUAAUGUAUUAUUGUACUAGGUAGGUUGAUUCAUUUCUUGUGCAAUAUAUUGUUCAUUUUUUCCUAUUUUGUUCACCAGUCAAAAUGAUACGCCUCUUAUCUGGGAAACAGUUAAUGAUGAUACAAGGAUUCACCUUCCACAGAACAGUCAAAAUGAUACGCCUCUUGUCUGGGAAGCAGUUGGUGAUGAUACAAGGAUUCACCUUCCACAGAACAGGUGCUGAAUUCAUUACGCUCAAUACCGGGGUUACGUUGCUGCUCAUUAAUAAAUACUCGUUCCACAAACUUGGGGCGUCCAAGUAUUGUGGAGGAUAUAGAUGGCGAUGUUCAUCUAAAAAGAGGCAUAAGUGUAAGGCGUUCGCAGUGCUCUCUGUAGACGACACAACCAUUCUUAGAUUAGUCGGCAUGCAUAAUCAUGAUCCUACGGCUUAUAAACUAAAUCAAAAGGGGUUUUAUGUGAAAGCAUAACGAAGGUACUAACUUGACGUGGAUUUAAUUUACACAACAUAAGAGGUUGAGUACAGUACAUGGUAAAUUAACGGGUAAAAAUUGAGCUUUAGAAAGAGACCUUUCCCCUUUUGAGUCAUGGGCGUGUAGAAAUAAGUAAAUACGUAGAACGUGUAGCCAGCCAGACCUUUGUCAUUUUAUUAAAGCUUAAAGAUUUUCACUUUCUGCACUGGUUGGCGAUUGAGGACAUUUUUCUUAUAGAAGAAAAUAUAAAUAAACCCGCGUAGUUUCCGUUCUUGUGAGAAUACGGGGAUAUAGUAUUUGUGUACAGGCAAACUCUUUCAUAGGUUCGAUUUGUGACACUUUUGCCAUUUACUGUAUAUACCUAAACGGGUAAAGCCAACUAUAGCUGUAUAAUAAAAGUAACAGAUUUGUAUGCGGACAAUAUUUAAGUUAUUUUGCAUUGUAUAUAAUCUUUCGUGUUCACUAUAUGAAAACGAAAGAUUGUAUACAAUGCAAAAUUCUCAUUUUAUUUUACUUAAUUAUAAUUUUAUCUAUUUCGUUUGUCCAUUCUAUCAAGCUGCCACGACAAAAUCGCCCUCGAAACUAACAAUAAAAAAUAUAUAAGUGUUAAAUUCGACUAGAAUCUUACAGUGGCUUCUGACCUUCAGUUUUAAAUGUACAGUUUUAUCUUAUCGAAAUUUCAAUCUAAAGCAUUAGAUAAAACUGUACUGUUAAAACUGACACACUACACACGGACGAUUUAACUGAACAGUUUAACUGUACAGUUAAAACUGCAAGUCUCUAGCUGCUGGCACUACGUUAUAUUGCUUACAGUUACAAGACUAAUGUACUACAUUCCAGUAAAUACAACUAUGCUUUUUAUUUAUCCUAGCAGAAAUAGACUAUUUUCACUGUUCAAAAUCUCAUAGUAGUUAGGUACGCGUAAUUUAUUAACAUGAAUUAUUUAUUUUUAAUAUAUUUUUUAUAUUUAUUUUUUCGUUCAAUAAAAAUAAAAGUAAUUCUCCUUAUAAUUAUACCAAGGAUUAUUCUAAAUUUAACAAAAUUAAGGAUAUUAUGUUAUCUGUAUUAUAUUAAUAAAAAGAAACUUAUACAGUGAAUAUACUUAGUGAAUAAAUUUGACUGAAUAAAAUAUAAUUUCAUGAAUUUUGCAUGAAAUAUUUGUUUUUCAUCAUAUUUUUUAAGUAGGACAAUUGUAAAUUUACGAAUAAUAAAAUUAUUAAUUAUGAACUAAAUAAAUUAACUGCAUAUUUUACUAAAAUGCCAUGUUUUAUUUUCUCAUUUUUUCCUCAACGCAUCCAAUCAACGCAACCUAUCCUUAUACGCAGAGCUACACGCAUCUUUUACACACUCCAAUCUUCCUUGGCCUUUUUUUCCUCUUUUGUUCUUUCACUUGCAACUUUAACAUUUUUUCGUAAUAUGACUUACAUUUUGUUCGCAUUUCAUAUUCUCUAUUAAAAACGAUCAUUGUCCAUUUUUUACUUUCGGACUUUCUUUUCGAAAUGCAGUAGCCUACUGCAUUUUUUUUCAUUUCAAAACAGUUCGCUAUUAUUAGAUAAAAGGUUAAUAUAAAAUAUUGUAGAAAGAAUAGAAACAGGCGUAAAAAAUAUGCAAAAAAUAGGCUUUUUAAACACAAUGCUAUAACUAAGUAUCAGGUUUUAGUUAUCACACGAAAUAUUUUAAAUUAUUAGACAUUUUACGUGCCUACAAAAUCACCGCAAACAGUGAUCCAAAUUUACCUACUCCGCAUUGCGCACACAUGCACAAUAAUUUGGUAUUUGCUUACAUUACAUACUUAUUUAUGUAUGUAUAGUUUAUACACUUCCUCAACACACAAUACGAUAUUGUAGACAAUAUUUAGGUAUUAAUUUUUUAAACAACUUUCGUCGUUUACUAUGCGACUAAAUGAAAUUAAGACAAUUAGCCACUUUUGUUCGCCAAUUCGUAGUGACAUAACUGAUAGUACUCUUUGACCUAUUAUUUUUGUUUCAUAUAAUAAUAUUUCAAAACUAUCAGAUAAAACAAGAAUCAUUUCAAAAAAUACAACUGUACAAAAAAAACGGUAGAUUUGUAUACGAUUGUAGUAAUUGCAGAUAUAAAGUUUGUCACCCUCAUAAAUGGAAGGAGACUCCUCAUGGUGGAUGGUUACACGUUCCACAAAGGAGGCGGUCACAUUAGAUGUUACGGUGGUGUCAAAUGGAGAUGCUCAGCUUCUAAAAAGAAGUGCAACGCUUUCGUAUCCCUGUCCGACUGUGAAAGUUACGUCAUCAAAUCCAAGCUGGAUCACGUCGGACAUGAUCGACCAGAGUAUAGAGUUAACCAAAGUGGCAUGUAUUUUAAAUUGAUUUAAAUUGCAACAAAAUUACUUUGCAUAUGUGAUUUUUGAUGUUAAUUCGACUCUGUACAAUCUAACAAUUUAAAAAAACAAUCUUGUAAGUAAGUUUGACCUUUAGCGAAAAUAGUCGUAUAAUAAAACAAGUCUGACGUCUUUUGAGAUAUAUUAAUUGUUCUAAAUAUCUUAAUAGUAUAUCAUUUACAAAUGUUUAAAUAUAUAGGUAUCUAUUUUCUAAAAAUAAAUGUUAAUUAAAUUUACACGAGUAUAUUUCACAUAAAACAAGCGCAAGUAUCGUUGUUGUAUUUUUUUUUUAAACUUCUUGAAAACUAUAUACUUCUUGAAUACUAAUAGUAAACAAGAAGGAACAUUGAGAUAAUUUAAGAACUUGUAUAUAUACAAUAUUCUUGUGAGUAAUCGAAUCAGUAAUAAGGAGAUACGCUGAAGAACGAAAGUUACCGACAUACCUCAACGAGUUGCGAAGCUUAAGUGGCAAUGGGUGGGGCACAUAGUUCGAAGAGCCGAUGGACGUCCCAAAGUGCUGAAAUGGCGACACCGCACUAUAAAGCACAGUGUUGGUGUACCCCUCCCCUCACAAGGUGGACUGACGACAUCAAGCGAGUCGAUUCGCUGGAUGCAGGUGGUUCAGUAUCGUGAUGUUUGGAAGUCCUUACAAAAGGUCGUAUGUCCUGCAGUGAACGUCCAUCGGCUGAUAUGAUGAUGAUGAUAAUAUUCUUAGUAUACAUAUCAGAUUAAAGAGUAUCAGAACCAGUUCCACAAGCGAUUUCGUUGCUUACUGCAUUGCUUAAAAUAUGCACAUAUUUUUUAUGUAACAUUUAUUGCUGUAUCCACAAAAUUGCCUGCAUUUUUGGUAAGUAACACCAAAAAACCUUAGACCCCAAUCAAAACGUCACUUGAAAUACGUCGCUGUCGCUAAACUUCAUUGUCAAUACAGUUGUCGUAGAAAACCAACAUUGCGCAAUAAGCCAUUUUCGUAAAAUGCCAGUAAUUUUAUUUUGCAGGUAUUAUGGUACAACGACCCAACAACAGAUUAGGGAUGUUGUACAAUCGGUACAUGUUCUACCCCCACUAUAAGAUCAGGAAGGGUUUUAGAUGGCGUUGUAAUCGAUACCAUCUGGGUUGCUCGGCGGCCAUCCAGGCUGACAUGAAUAAUAAAAUUUUCAGAAAAAAACUGGACCAUAACCAUGCACCGCCUGAAAUGGAAUUGACCCAGGGAAUGUGUUUUAGAAAAAAUUGUUCCGACUAUUUCUAACUGUAUUGCAUUCUUACGUUAAACUGUAAAUUACAAUUAAAUUUGUAUUCCAAGAUUGUGUUUCAUUUUCAUUUGAUAUGCAGUAUGCUGCAUGUCUCUUGCACUCCAAAAGAGAGGCCGUUGGACGGAGGUGAGUGAGCUGUCAGUUAGUCAGUCGAGUGAAGUAUAUGCGUAAGAAUACCUAACCAUCACUACAUUAAGUGAAUAACAGUUUUUACUGUUUUAUUAGAGAAAAUCUUAAUUAACAGGUUUAAAUAUUCGGCAAAUAGAAGAUCAGUCAGACGAAUCUGUUUUGGAGUCAGAUCCAUUCGACGAUAUUAACGAUGACGAGUAUAUGCCAAAUAUAUCGGGAAUUUUAAAAAGAUACCCAUUCAUCAAAUUCCUCGUCUUCAUCUGAUGAUAACGAUGACCAGAAGUUCCAGCUACGUGGAAGAUCCCGCAGAAUAGUUUUAGCAAAUCCUAUUCCUGAGUCUUCUAUUUGGCAAGAAAAAUCAUUUUCUCCAAAUAUUGCUCAUAUCUUACCCAUUUAUUUCUCUGUUAACACAGAACAUUUUAGAAAGUACGAUUAUUUUAGUCAAUACAUUGAUACGGAAAUAAUGGAGUUAAUUGUACAAAAGACAAACCAAAUGUCAUUCUUUAAGAAGGGAAAAGGAAUUAAAAUUACUAUGAAGGAACUUGGGAUUUAUAUUGGGGCCAUGAUGAUUAUGAGUACUAUAAAUUAUCCGCUACUUAGAAUGUAUUGGCAAAAAGAGUAUAGAGUGAAUAUUAUUGCUGAUAAUAUAUCUCGUGGUAGGUUUAUUACGAUAACAAAUAAUUUAAAAUUCGUCUAUGAUCAUGUCAUUGCACUUGAAGAAAGAUUAAAAGAUAAAUUAUGGAAAGUGCGCCCAUUACUGAACAAAAUUCUAAGUGGAUGCCGUCAACAGAAUAAAGAGCAAAAUCUUUGCAUCGAUAAAAUAACUAUACCGUAUACCGGUAAAUGUAACAUAAAACAACACUAUUCAAAUAUACGAAAUCCCGAAGGCCUUAAGGCGUUCGUAAUGGCUAACGCGAAUAGUAUUGUGUGUAAUUUUCAUAUCGACCAAGGAAAUUCUGAUUAUCCAGAGCACGAGGAAACAAAUUUUACCUUAGGUGAGGACGUAGUGAUGAAAUUCGCUGCUGAUUUGAUGCCGGGCCUAAUUUUAUACUUUGACAGAUAUUUCACUACAGUAAAGGUAGUGCAAGAAUUAAAACAUCAAGGUAUCUAAGAUUCCAAAAGACGCUAAACCUCUGCUUAAAUCCAAAGCCGAAUUAAAACGUUUAGAACGAGGAAGUUGUCAUGUACUUGUAAACGAGACUACAAACAUUGCAUUAACUACUUGGCUGGAUGAUAAGUCCGUAACAUUAUUGUCAUCUAUUUAUGCCAAUAUUAGCCUUAUGAAUGCCAAAGAUGGUGUAAAAAACGAAAGACAUUCGUGCCUUUUAGCCGUCCUGAAGUAAUGAAAGCUUACAACGACAAUGAAAAGAUUGCUGUCAGUUUGUCCAUUUAGAUAUACCGCCAAGGGGACUCAAAGACUUGUAGCCCACGUGAUUGACUUGGCUACAACCAACGCUUGGUUACAGUACCGAUCAGAGGAACUCACUAAAAAUGUACCCAUAAAGAAAAUUUUACAACUUCGUGCUUUUAAGUUAGAACUGGGACAGUUUCCGAUAGAUCAAGCUUAUGAUAACGAUAAGGCAGAAGCGAGUAGCUGUGAAAGUGAACCAGUGAACACUACGCGAAUUAUUGGGCGACCGUACGUCCAACUACCUAGCGAUUCUAAGACAAACAAGACAGCGCAUAUGCCCAUAAUAGGUGAGCACCAGAAUAGAUGCCGGCAUCGUGGUUGCUCCCGCAAAACUAAAAUGUACUGUUCCUCUUGCCACAUUUAUCUUUGCUCAACUUUUAAUAGAAAUUGUUUUAUGCAGUUUCAUUCUGAAUAGAUGAUAUUUUUUUCUUUAAUAUAUAGUGUAUAUUCAAUGUUUUAGAAUUCGACUGCACUAGGCUAAAAACUAUAGCUUGUUUAGGUAUCCAAUAAUAAUAAUAACACAAAAGUAAGUAACUUAUUUUCAAUCACGUCUUGCAAACAAUACAAAGGUUUCAUGAGUUAAAAGUACGAGUAAUUAUUUGUUUGCAAUAAUUUAUUUUAUCUUUGAAUAAGAUUAAAUAAAAUCAGAUAUCUUUACACAAAAUAAGUGUUUUAUUUACUAAAAAAAUAACGACAUACGCUAUAAAUAAAUACAAUAAAAACAACAGAAUAAAACGACUGUAUUCUAAACUGUGUUUAUUGAAAAUAAUAGGCACAACUAAUAUAAUUUGUAGUACCCAAAAAUUACCGUUGGAAUUUUUUUGUGGAGUCUCAGAAAAAUUACAUACAAUAUUUUAUACUAUUAUUAAUAUUGAUUGAUGUCCAAAUUGUAAGCUACGUUUCAAUACAUUCUUUUUUGUAGACAAAAAAUUAUAAAAUGUAUCAUAAAAAUAAAGUUAUAUUGGUAGAAUCAAUACCACAUUAUAUCUUGAGUCUUGAGAGAGAGUCUUGUCUUGCAUUUGAAAUAGUAAACGGAUUAUAGAUGGAUAGAUUAUAUUACACUACCGUGCCUCGGAGAGCACGUUAAGCCGUCAGUCCCGGCCAUUAUAUUUAACAUCUUGAUAGUGGUCUUUAAAGAAAAAUUAUCACCUUAAGUACAAGUACAUUGAAGAAGCGUGGUGGGUAUAACCUCCUUAUCCCCUCUCCAAUAAGGAGGAAGGCUUGCUUCUAGUGAACAGUUAACAAAAGGCUGAAAAUAAUGACGUAAUAAAGAAAUGUCCACUUUCAGGAGAGUUCGUCAUCCGAUCAAAUAAUCGGAUAGGACUCUUGUAUCAAGGGCACAUGUACUCGCGACACAUCAGAGUACGCGACGCCUACAGAUGGCGCUGCUUCCGCCACUACACACACUGCAAGGCGUAUGUUCACGUUGACAGUCGCAAUUGCGUAGUUAGAAGUUUCCCCUUCCAUUCCCAUUCGAUUCCUGGUUUUCGCGUGUUAGAUGGUAAAUAUUACCAAAGACACUACGUCUAGCACAGUUUAUAAUAUUUCAAUAGAGUUCGAGUUUUCCACUUAAUAAAAUAUAACAAAACGAAUGUCCUUUCUGUUUCUAAUUUCAUCAUUCGAAGAGGCGAAGAGGAAAAUUAUGAGCAGACUUUGGCAGACAUCUCUCAUCAGUUACUCCAAUAUGCAACCAGUGAAGAGAAUUAUAGACAAAAAGAGAAUGCCCACCCCUGGCCCUGGUCUGCUCUAAUCACACAGCAAUCUACUUAUGUUUAAAAAUUUUGAUGAUUCUCAAAUUCAUCAUUCUCGAAAUCAUUACUUUACCAAAAAAAGUUUGCUACAACGUUUAACGACUUUUGAUUCAUCUUUAAUUUGUCAAUGGAGACAAGCAAAGAACUUUGUCCCAAUGGGGUACAACUUGAGUUUUACGACAUUUUUUGAAGACUUAUGAUUGGGUCGUUUGUUAAGCUUAUUGGUGGUAACAGAAAAUAAUAAUACAGCUUCAAUUGUUACUUCACCGCUUUGGUGAACUUUUUGAGCAAGAAGAGUUAUGGAAAAACAUACAUUAAGCCAAUUGUUUAACCAGAUCCUUAUUUAUACCUCAUAUUAUCAUCUCCAUAUACUUUUAUACAGGGUAUACCUGGGUUCCCGGGGCCGAUGUUGUAUAGGCCGGUGGGCAUUCCCCUUCGUCAAAUGGCGUCGGAGUUGUCCCAGUAACAUAUUAUUAGUUCUUAUUAACGCAAUAGAAGAGAUAGCGAUACUUCCGACUUGACAAACCUCAGAAAUUGACAAAGUUCAUCCAAUGACGGCGCCUAUUGGUUGAACUUUGUCGAUUUCUCUUCACGAGAUUUUCAGUAGUUCAAUCAGUAUGCAAUUCAAUCGUUUGUAAAAUUCUUUGAAUUACUUCAAAAUUGAUAUUCAUUUUUCAAAUUGAAUAAAUGUUUGCGUUGAAAUUGAUUUUAUUUUAAAUGUUUAAAUUAGUGUUGUUUCGACUUGACGAUAAUUGUUUUAUCCACCAAAUUAAAGGUAUAAUCUAAAUGUGGUGUUUUUAGUGACACCGAUAACUCUUCUAAAUGGAUCUCUACGGAUGAUGAAAAACGGUUUUACUUACUACAAAACUUCUGUAAGGAAUACUACAGUGAGAUGGCAAUGUACAAAUUACUCUCGGUGUAGGUACUCUCGGUACUCUCGGUACUCUCGGUACCUUCUUUUAUCCCAAGAAGGUAUUUUGGACCGCUCCAGUGAAAAUCAUCAGCACAAUCGUCCCAUGUAUUGCAUUCUGCCUACUGGCGAAUAUUUUAAAAUACGGAACAAUUUUAAAUGAACUCAUAAUUUAAAACAUAAAAGUUAAUUAUUUAGUUUCAGUAAAAAUUUCAAUAAAUAAACUAACUCUAGCUCCUAGGAGCCUCAAGUUGGCGGGUGCAUUUUGUAACGUGUAAAUUGUGCUCCUAGCAUGUUCGGUGAAGUGUUGGUAAGUUACCCAUGCUACAGACUUGCAGUUUUUAAUGUACAGUUUUUACUUUUAAUUUUCAUUGAAAUAUUGUUUUGAUAAAAUACAUCUAAAAUUGCGCAGUUAAAACUGAAAGUCUGUAGCGCGGGUUGUAGUGUAACUUUACAAUAACAGUUGUCAUUUGGAAGUAAUAAGUUGUUUUAAGAUAAAAAAAGUUCUUUAUACUCAUAUUAUAUGACUUGCAAAUAAAUGCAGGUUGUAAAUUGUGAUUUACCUCUUUAAAUCAUAAGGGCAGUCAUCUAUAGUUAGUACUUAAUUUUAUAAAAACAAAAUUUACUGACAGACGGAAAGACUGACACACGAGUGAGCCUAGGUGGGUUCCAUUGUCGUACUCGGGUAUUUGGAAUCCUAAUAAGAAAAGCAAUUAUUUUUUAUUACUUGUCUAAGAUUUUAAGGAGUUUGUAAUGAUAAUUUAAUGUGAUAAACUUUGUUAGGAUUUUUAACGUUCACUAAUAAUAUUCCUCCUGGAAGAAAAAAUAGGAGUUACCAUUUUAAAGCUUUAGUGAUUUUGUGAUUGUGAUUAGUAAAUACAUCGAUAAAUUAUAAUUAAUCUUAAACGCUCAACUACUAGAGCCUGUUUUAAAUUUAUUAUAAUUUUAAUUUUUAUUUCUUCUUGUAAAAUCCUUGCAAUUGAUAUUUAUAUAGUCAUAUGUCAAAACUUGAGUUAUUUUUAUAAAAAUGUGCCAAAAAUUAUGUGAUUUACAAAAUAAGUCAAUAAAAACGUAUUUGCUAAUAUAAAAAAAACUUAUUUUAUCUUCAUUUCAACAAAAUAGUGAGUUUGUUUGUUUUAGGUUAUAAAGGCAGUCGCAUGAGUGAUUAUGUACCUACGUUUAAAAAAAAUCUAGAAAAAAUAUCAUUAUGUGCCUAACUCGUAAAGUUCUGUACAUAGAGAUGUGUAAAGUAUUAAAGUGGCCCGUGCUAGAAAUCAAAUCCAGGACUUCUGUUGAGAAACACAGUAAUACCAAAAAUCGUCGUCAAAAUGAAUGUAUUCAAUUCUUUCACUGUUGAUCGUUUUUUUUUUAAGUAUUAACUUCUUUAGCGGCGUUUUGCAGUUUUAUGGGAUGGGUAAGAAUGAAAAACUCGCGUCAGGAUCACGUGACCCUGAUCUAUAUUCUACUAAAAUUGGUAAUACAUCGGCCGCGCCGCUAACUUAACCACACUGUAAAAAUGGUACCAAAAUGAUUGUUGUAACAUACUACAUACGAUUAAAUAAAUAUUAUUUGUAUUCGACUGCCGGACAUUAUAAUAAACAAUGAAAAUGGGCAACUGACCUUUUCGCUCGAUUUGGUUUGACGAUGCACCUUCAUUGGGAUCAAACAUGCGAAGGAAGUUUUAGUGUAAUUUAUAGAAAUGAAAUUUCCAGCUCAACUGAUCACAAUGGACAACAACAGAAACUGUUUACUAUACGCGGGAUAUACGUUCUUCUAUCGGUACAAGUUGCUGAGGCUGGGCCACAAGUGGGUGUGCACCAACUUCCCGCGCUGCAAGGCGUUCCUGUGCGUCGACGACCAAUUCUUCAUCAACGAAAGCAUGACGCAACAUAAUCACGAACGGAAACUUUUACACCAGUGCCCAAACGGCAAAUAUGUGAGGACCAGGAUGAUAAAUUAUAGAUAAAUAUUAAUAAAAUGUUAUUCCAAAAACGAGUGACUUUCGAUGUUCGAAGAAUUCGUUGGUUGUUUAAUUGUUAUAAGCGUCAAAAUUCGAUUUCGAAAAAAUGCAAUUUUAACUGUACAGUCAAAACGUCCGUGUGUAGAUAAAACUGUACAAUCAAAACUUCACAAUUAAAACUGAAGGUCUGUAGCCCGCAUUAUUCAAAUUUGAACUUUAUUUUUACGAGAAUUCAAUGACAACGAAACACGAUGUCACGACUCGCAGCGUUGUUCCUUUGCAGAAUGCAGAGGCGCAUCACGCCGAACUGAUCACUAUUCCAGUAUUAUCUUGUCUAAAAAUUGCUUUAAAAGUAAGAAAAAGUCCUAGAAGCAUUCACGAAAUAGGGAUGAAAUACCUGCCCGGUAUCUUAAUGUUAAAGCCUUUGAUCAUUGCAGUUAAGCUCAGUUAUCAAGUGACGUAACGAGUAUUUGUCUGAUUCAUCAACAUUGCUUUCACCACUUAAUGAUGUGAGUAUUAUCAUCUCUUUUUACGGCACUCUACAGGGCCUGGCCUCACCCAGGAGAAGGGAUAAGGAGCUUAGACCCACCACGCUGCUUCAGUGUGGAUUGGCGAGCAUUAGUUUGAUAACGUUAAAUUCUUUAACGAUCUCUUUUAUACUAAUUUUAAUAAUUUAAUGUAAAAUGUUUAAAAGAAUUAAACAAAAAUGUUGAAUUAAAUUUGAUUACCAUUCCUUCAUUGUGCUUUUUUUGUCACCUAUUUUUACAGCGAAAAAAAAGAAGAUCGUAAAGUGAAAAUAUAAUGGAAUUAUUCGACAAUGGUAUGCGCGGAGGUUUUACAAGACGGAGGUCCUGGGUUCAAUCCCAAGCUAAAUCGUCAUCCUCCUCCUAAUAAGUUAGCCCACUUCCAUCUUAGAUUGCAUCAUCACUUACCAUCAGGUGAGACUGAAGUCAAGGGCUAACUUGUAAAUAAUAAAAAAAAACAACAAAAAAACGUUGUCUUUUGAUAGACAAUAACGGCAGUACACUGGUUUAAAAUUAAUGGUAGAUGCUACAGACGUGCAGUUUUAACUUCACGGUUUCAGUUAAAUCGUACGUGUGUAGUGUCCGUCAGUUUUAAUUGUACAGUUUUUCUAAUAAAUUUUACAGUACAACUUGUACAGUUAAAACCAAAGGUCUGUAGCGCGGGUAUCACCUUUUGUACAUGUAUAUGCUGCAAUCAACUAAUGAAUUGAAUUUAGAGUCGGAUGUUCAUUGGACCUCUAAAUUAAUCUGAUUUAAUUUAUGUAGUUUGGACUAAAUUGGCAAACAUUUUUGGCUUUAUAUUAGACUAAAUGCUUAUAAUUCAUAAGCGUCAAUAACUAAAGCUUGGCAAGUUUGUUGAUGACACUCCCAUGAUAUGCGGGCGACGAGACGGAAAGGAGGGUGCGAGGGUAUGAAGUCGUGCGCGCGGGGCAUCGCUACCCGCCUCCUGGUCUCCAUGGACCAAUUGGGAGAGGAAAGGGAACAUUAGUCAUAUUUAAAAGAUAUGGCAAACGUUCUCUAAAAUGCUCUAGUAUAAGUACUUACCUAUAACCAAGCUUUUAUAUAAUAUAUAAAAACUUGUCUUUUGCUUGCUUGCUUUUAUAAGUAUAUAAAAGCUUGUUGUAACAUACAUUUUCGAGAUUAUAAUUUAAAAUUUUUAGUACAGUAUAGUAUAGUGAAGCAUAGUAUAGAAGUAGUAAACAGAUAGUAGACACAGGCUUUUUUCUAUUCAAGCUCGUCUCAUAACUAUGGCGAAUGGGAAGGAGAGUUUGGUCUACGGCGGAUACACGUUUUUCCUCCGCGGCGUACGACGGAGGUGGAAGAGCUGGGUUUGCACCAACUUCCCCCGCUGCAAGGCGUUCGUUAGCGUCAACGAUUGCUUCUUGGUCCUCCGCUGCAGAACCGAGCAUAACCACGUCAAGAAAGUACUACACCGAUGCUCUAACGGAACAUAUGUGAAGCACAACUUAUCACGCUAAAGUUAAGAAGCUCUUCUUCUUUUUCAUUCCUGUUCUUUCUAUUUUAAAUAUACUUAAAUAAAAAGAGCAUAUAAUGAGAAAAAAUGUAACGGCUUGAAGCCGAAUAGUAGCUACACUUCGUUUAGCAUAAUUAUAAUAGAGAAGCAUGCCUAGCGUGAUAUAUUUUUAUCUUCACCAAUGUUGUAGUUUUAGAAAAUUUAAAACACAGCCUUUGUCUGUUAAUACAAUUCGCAGAGUGUUUAUAUCUGUUAGUACAAUUCGUGGAGUCUUUAUAUCUGUUAAUAGAAUUCGUGGAGUCUUUUGAUCUGUUUUAAAAUUCGCAGAGUCUUUAGAUCUGUUUGUACAAUUCGUAAGUCUAUAGAUCUGUUAGUACAAUUCCUAGAAAAUACAUAAUUUAUAUUGAUAUACGAGUAUCUUGAAAAAUCAGGUAUUUAAAAAUAUUACAUUUUGUAAUUCACGAUUGUAGUCAGAAUAUUUAUUGUAAGGAAUUGUAAUAUUCCAUUUUAAUGCUCCAGUUACUCGUAGUUUGAAUCAAACAUAAAACAUUAAUCGUUGAAAUAUCUGUUAUGAUAUAAUAAUAAUGAUAAGCAUAAUAAUAAUAAGCAUUUCAAUAUUCCAGUUACUCGUAAUUUGAUCCGAAAAUGAAAUAAUACUUAAAAUCUCCGUCAUUAUAAUAUAAUCAUAAGUAAUAUAAUAUUCAAGUUACUCGUAGUUUGAAUCAAACAUGAAAUAUUAAUUGUUGAAUUAGUCUCCGUUAUGAUAGUAAAUAAUAAGUAUUUUAAUAUUCAAUUACUCGUACUUUGAAUCAAACAUGAAAUAUUAAUCGUUAAAAUAUCCGUUAUAAUAAGCAUAAUAAUAAUAAUAAGGCAAUAAGCAUUUCAAUAUUCCAGUUCGUAAUUUGAUCCGAAAGUGAAAUAUUAAUAGUUAAAAUCUUAAUAAUUAAUAGUUAAAAUAGUUAAAGUCAUGAUAAUAAAAUAGAAAGCAUUUUAAUAUUACAGUUACUCGUAAUUUAUCCGAAAAUGAAAUAAUUAGUUAAAAUCUCCAUCAUGUAUUAAUAAGCGAUUUAAUAUUCCAGUUACUCGUAGUUUGAUUUAUUCAAGAUAUAUUAAUCGUCAAAAUCUCCGUUAUGAUAAUAUAAUAAUAAGCAUUUUAAUAUUCCAGUUACGUGUAGUUUGUUCCGAAUAUGAAACAUUAAACGUUAGAAUCUCCAUAAUUAUAAUAAUAUCAUAUUCAAUUAUAAUAUUCCAAUUACUUGUAGUUUGUUCCGAAUAUGAAACAUUAAACGUUAAAAUCUCCAUAAUUAUAAUAAUAUAAUAUUCAAUUAUAAUAUUCCAGUUACUUGUAGUUUGAUCCAAACGUAAAAUAUUAAACGUUAAAAUAUCCGUUAUGUUAAUAUUAUAUUCAAUUUUAAUAUUCCAAUUACUUGUACUUUGAUUCUAACAUGAAAUAUUAAUCGUCUAAAUCUGUGUUAUGAUAAUAUAAUAAUGAUGUAGCUCCAUUGAAAUAGAUGAAAUAAAUGGUUUCCUCUCAAAUGUGUUCAUUUAGCUUGUCCUGUUUUAUUAUUAUAGUAACAGAGCUAUCACAAUAGCGGAUUGCGAGCGUUUUCAAAGAGGAGGGGGCUCGCAACGGAUACGUUACGGGCGCGCAACGGACAUGUUGUGCUGUCUCGUACAAACGCCAGUCCGUCCCAGUGUUGUCAAACGUACGCUUUAAAUCGUAUUUAUACGACUUUUUUGGCUCUUGUACCAUGUAUAAUCGAGUAAUCGAAAUCGUACGCAAAAUUUACGAUCGUUUCAAAUAUUAGGUCCAUCAUCAUAACCAAUUAAAAAUAUUAACUAGUCGACGAAAAAUUAACCUACGAUGAUUUGUUGGUUUGAAAAGAAAAAUACAAACAAUAUAAACAAUAGUUUUUUAGCCAGAAAUCUGUUUUUUUAAUAAAUUUUAAUAGUAAAACAGCAGUGUUUCUUCAUCAGAAUCCAUUUUGUUACUGAAUGUACUGUACGUCGUUAAUCCGCUACAAAACCGCGACGGAAACGUUGCGAAUCCGCCACGCUUCCGCGACGUCUUCGCUGCGCAGCCGUGAUGUGUUCGCGACGUAUUCGCUGAGCGUCCGCUCCGCUUUUGCAACCGCUGGCAACCCGCUAGUAUGAUAAGGCCGUUAUAGUUACAUUCAAAUAUAGUAUAGCUUGGCUACAUUUUGAAGUCUCUUUGAGUUUGGAUAUAGUGGUAAAAACAGUGCACGUGUAUAAACUGAUGGUUGGUUAAAAUGAAAAAUUUGUUUGAUGCGAUGCGUCCGAUACUUUCGUUACGGAUAUAAGGACGCCUACCAUUACAAACCAACGCGAAUGGUCUGUCGUCUUACAUGUAAAGUCAAAGAGGCUUCAAAAAGUAGACGAUCUAUACUCGUGUAGAUAAACUAAAACUUUUAUUCAAUUACAGCGGAACUCAUUACAAUGAUGAAUGGGAAAACUUUACUGUUGUACGACAGCUACACGUUCUACAAACGCUAUGAAAUGAAGAAGUUCACCAAAUGGAACUGCACCACGUAUCCUAGUUGUGACGCUUACGUUAACAUUGAUAAAGAAAUGACUGUGGUAGGAUACAAAACCCUUCACAAUCAUUCUGCGCGAAAAGUCAUUCGGACAUCUAAUGGACGCUAUACACGUUUAUAAAGUGGUACAACAAAAGCCCUCGAUCACUAUUCAGGGCUGUUCCAAAAUGAUCGCCGACCUUUGUUAAAAAUAGAACUUUAAGAAGAUGAAGAAUUUUGGAGUUAGGACCCUAAACAGUGCGACAGAAAGACAUAGUAUUUUUUAGUUACUUUAGUUUUUAUUUAAAUAUACAUAUUACAAUGUGCCUUCAAUUUAUAUUUUUUACAUUGUUGAAAUAUAAUAAUGGUAUCAAUCAAUUUGAGGGUAAAUAAUAGUUACCUCUAUGAGUCCAAAUGCACUAAAAUCUCAGUAGCCUCAUCUUUCGAUUGUCACUUUUUAAUUCAUAAAUACAAACACUGUCAAAUCAGUGAACCCUAAUAGACACUGAUUAUUAUGGAACGUUUAGAACUGGAGGCUCGGUCGUGCUGUCGUGCCUUUUCUUAAGAUUUUUACAAUUAAAAUUAUAAUUAUUUUUACAA
Molecule: long non-coding RNA, 37738 nt
Organism: Bicyclus anynana (squinting bush brown)
Lineage: Eukaryota; Metazoa; Arthropoda; Insecta; Lepidoptera; Nymphalidae
Exons: 4
Source: RefSeq, a predicted model, not a curated record